RNAcentral lists this ribosomal RNA (467 nucleotides) under uncultured bacterium. RNAcentral's name for it is "partial 16S ribosomal RNA". It matches the Rfam family "Bacterial small subunit ribosomal RNA", at positions 29 to 507 of the family's 1533-position model. The record is from RNAcentral.
ACGAACGCUGGCGGCGUGCUUAACACAUGCAAGUCGAACGGAAAGGCCCUGCUUUUGUGGGGUGCUCGAGUGGCGAACGGGUGAGUAACACGUGAGUAACCUGCCCUUGACUUUGGGAUAACUUCAGGAAACUGGGGCUAAUACCGGAUAGGAGCUCCUGCUGCAUGGUGGGGGUUGGAAAGUUUCGGCGGUUGGGGAUGGACUCGCGGCGUAUCAGCUUGUUGGUGGGGUAGUGGCUUACCAAGGCUUUGACGGGUAGCCGGCCUGAGAGGGUGACCGGCCACAUUGGGACUGAGAUACGGCCCAGACUCCUACGGGAGGCAGCAGUGGGGAAUAUUGCACAAUGGGCGGAAGCCUGAUGCAGCAACGCCGCGUGCGGGAUGACGGCCUUCGGGUUGUAAACCGCUUUCGCCUGUGACGAAGCGUGAGUGACGGUAAUGGGUAAAGAAGCACCGGCUAACUACGUG